RNAcentral lists this ribosomal RNA (2016 nucleotides) under Triticum aestivum (bread wheat). RNAcentral describes it as "partial small subunit ribosomal RNA". The record is from RNAcentral. Lineage: Eukaryota; Viridiplantae; Streptophyta; Magnoliopsida; Poales; Poaceae.
AGCAGGAGCCCUGGCACCGGCGGCAGGCGCCUUUGCUGCGGCCUUAGCUUCGGCAGCGGCCAGACCGGCACCGGCACCGGCAUCCCUGAUGACUCCACCAUAAUCCAGCAACGGAUCUAUGGUCCGGAGAAUCUAGAUCGCUGGGACGACGAACUAGCGGCGGACGAAGAUCUGGAACGGGGAAUCGGCAAGGAGCUCCUUGCCAAGAUCCAGCGCUGCUACGAGCGGGUGAAGAUCGUCGACGAGGGCUUCUGCUUCGGCCUACUAGAUCCGGUCUCCAACAUCGUCGUCAGCGAAGCAAUCGCCCAAACCAAUAAGCUGGCGGUGGCGGCGGAGGAGGAAGAGGAGGACGGUCGUCGACGGCCGAUACUCCGGUGCAUUUUCGAGCGGUCGCUGGACGGCCUCGUCGCCUUCCUGGUGGCCCUCUUCCCCUACCUCACCAACUACAGGGCCGUGUGGUACCUCAACAAGGCCGAUCUGGACCCCCUCGUGGCCGCCGGCCUCGUCGUCAAGCACCGCGGGAUGGAGCGGACCUUCGGGUUUAUGUCUCACACCACCGCGGCGGCCGUCGGAAUGGCGCUCAGAUGCGCCGCGGCCGUCGCACAACACCCCAACCCGCGCAAGUUUGCUCUGGGGUGGAAGCUGCUGUCCCCUUGUCUCUGCAGGGUCUCCGCCCUGCUUUCACCACCCUACGCCGCCCGAGACCCCGCUCUGAUCAUCGACAUCUGGUCACUGCUUGAGCAACCUGAACCUAAACCUGCUCGGCUUGUCCUGGAGGAAGCCUGGGGGCUUGCCUCUAAACGCCAUGGCAGCAACAUGAAGAACCAUCCGGAGAUGAAGAUGCUGCAAGUGCCGCUGCUGCCGACUCUGAGGCGUGUGCUUCUCGCCACCAUCCAUGGAUACUAUCUGGAGGCUCUUGCCUGGCUGCCCAAGGACAAGCUGUGCUCCUACCAGUACCAUUACAGCUUGCUCCACGCCGGCCAGUGCUACGGGCCGCUGGACCCCGUCUCCAACAUCAUCGUGAAUACCCUCUGGUAUGCCCAGGCCUACCCUCUAACGCUAGAGAAAAAUAUGGAGAUCGAGGCCAUCAGCACCAGAGCCCUGCUGCGGAUCGCACUCCGAUCCCUAUAUGGCCUCAUCUCCUUCCUCUGCACACGCCACCCCGCCCUCACGCCGGGCGAGGCCAUGCAACGACUGCAGCUGGCCGGGGCCUAUCUCCAAAAGGCCGAUGAUCGCGAUCACGAUGGUGGCAUCGAAGAAGCCUACGCGGCUGCUGCCAAUGCCGCACGCCACCCGAAACCUCUUGAACAGGCCCAAUUCCUCGGACCAUCUAAUUCCAUGCUGAAAGGCUUCUCGGAUCUCCUCGAGCACAAUGAACCUUCCAACGUCCGCCCAUUGUUUCCGGGCUACUUCCAAGCUCUUGCCAACUGCAAACCUGCACAAGAAACAAAAAACACCAACGUGUUAGGCCCGUGGGCUUACAAUGAUGUAAUGAGAACGAUAGGCAGCUUCUGGAACCAGCACAACAGCGCCGUGGGAAUGGCAAAAUAUGCAAUCGAAAUGUACAACAAGAAACUCCUGGUACAACCCAGCUACGAGGUCCAUGUUGUCUGCGGUGUCAACGAGUCCGUGGGUGGCCAUGCGAACCCAACGAAGCCCUUCGAUGGCACGUGCCGUUGCUCCCACAUCAACUUCCUCGCCACCCGAACUACAGCAGGCACAUCUCCAGAGCUCUUCUUUGCCGAGUGUAGCAACAUCGGCUCUAAGGAGGUGCUGUUGUGCUGCCCUGUGGCUAUGCCACUUCCAGGCACUGAGCAAGUCCGUUGCCUUUACUGUGAGUCGAGAGGGAGGACCAUCGUGCACCCGACCAAGGAGAGUUUCCUGGGGCGUGACAAAGAGUUUGAGAAGAUGCUCUGCGGUGAAAGACAACGCGCCAACAAUGAAAUGAUCUCUGACAGCUACUAUAUAACCUUGCGUUUGGAUAAUCUGGAGGAGGACCGAAUCUACAGCGAUUAC